GAUGACUCUAAUUGUGACUCUUACCUUAUUUUUCCCACAGGACUGAUGAAAUUAAGAAGAUGACUUGAUAAAACUCACCAGGUAGCUUAGAUGUUCAGGACCAAUUGAGAGACACAAGAAGCAGAAAGGCAAAGAUGGAAAAAAUAUCUCUUUAGCCUGGCUGGUGUGGCUCAGCAAUUGAGCAUCGACCCAGGAACCAAGAGAUUGCCGGUUCGAUUCCUAGUCAGGGCACAUGCCCAGGUUGCAGGCUCAAUCCCCAGUGGAGGCCAUGCAGGAGACAGAAUUACCAACUGAUCCAGGAGUGGGGAAAGAAGCCAAGAGAGUUAUUCUAACAGAAGUACUCCCAAAUGGAAACACGGAGAGAACAGAAUGGAGGACUCCAAUGCCUUCCCACUGCUGCUUAAAAAGGAGAGUAUGACAGAGACAUGAUUAAUCAAGUUAUCAUGAAUGCUUUUCCAGCAUCCCUGCUUUGAAAUCCUGGUUUUCCCACUUCUUGGCUCAGUCUCCUCAAUUGGAAUAAGUUAAUUAUACCACUUUUCAGGGUCAUUGUAAUCAUUGCCAAUAAUGUAUGGAAAGUGCCUUGCAUAGUGCCUAGCAUUUAGCAAUUGUUUCUCAAUCUAGGGCAAAUUUAACUCACUGAAUGAAUAUUGUUCUGUUGAAACAUUGUUUCAAUAAAUAUGUAAGCUCUUUAAAAGAACAAAUGUUAUGACCAUAUACCCAAAGUGACCUACAGAUUCAAUGCAAUCCCUAUCAA
Molecule: RNA transcript, 754 nt
Organism: Myotis daubentonii (Daubenton's bat)
Lineage: Eukaryota; Metazoa; Chordata; Mammalia; Chiroptera; Vespertilionidae
Source: RefSeq, a predicted model, not a curated record